RNAcentral lists this ribosomal RNA (264 nucleotides) under uncultured bacterium. RNAcentral describes it as "partial 16S ribosomal RNA". It matches the Rfam family "Bacterial small subunit ribosomal RNA", at positions 337 to 598 of the family's 1533-position model. The record is from RNAcentral.
UUCUACGGGAGGCAGCAGUGAGGAAUAUUGGUCAAUGGGCUUACGCCUGAACCAGCCAAGCCGCGUGAGGGAUGAAGGUACAGAGUAUCGUAAACCUCUUUUGUCAGGGAACAAAGGCGGGGACGCGUCCCCGGAUGAGUGUACCUGAAGAAAAAGCAUCGGCUAACUCCGUGCCAGCAGCCGCGGUAAUACGGAGGAUGCGAGCGUUAUCCGGAUUUAUUGGGUUUAAAGGGUGCGCAGGCGGUCUGUUAAGUCAGCGGUCAA